RNAcentral lists this ribosomal RNA (468 nucleotides) under uncultured bacterium. RNAcentral's name for it is "partial 16S ribosomal RNA". It matches the Rfam family "Bacterial small subunit ribosomal RNA", at positions 28 to 507 of the family's 1533-position model. The record is from RNAcentral.
GACGAACGCUGGCGGCGCGCCUAACACAUGCAAGUCGAACGGAGUCAAGAGGAGCUUGCUUUUCUUGACUUAGUGGCGAACGGGUGAGUAACGCGUGAGUAACCUGCCCUGGAGUGGGGGACAACAGUUGGAAACGACUGCUAAUACCGCAUAAGCCCACGGAUCCGCAUGGAUCUGCGGGAAAAGGAUUUAUUCGCUUCAGGAUGGACUCGCGUCCAAUUAGCUAGUUGGUGAGGUAACGGCCCACCAAGGCGACGAUUGGUAGCCGGACUGAGAGGUUGAACGGCCACAUUGGGACUGAGACACGGCCCAGACUCCUACGGGAAGCAGCAGUGGGGGAUAUUGCACAAUGGGGGAAACCCUGAUGCAGCGACGCCGCGUGGAGGAAGAAGGUUUUCGGAUUGUAAACUCCUGUCGUUAGGGACGAUAAUGACGGUACCUAACAAGAAAGCACCGGCUAACUACGUG